UACGUAGGGGGCGAGCGUUGUCCGGAUUUAUUGGGCGUAAAGAGCGUGUAGGUGGCUAGGUAGGUCUCGCGUCAAAACCUGCGGCUCAACCGCAGUCCGCGUGGGAAACCCCCUGGCUUGAGUCCGGAAGAGGAGAGCGGAAUUCAUGGUGUAGCGGUGAAAUGCGCAGAUAUCAUGAAGAACACCAGUGGCGAAGGCGGCUCUCUGGGACGGUACUGACACUGAGACGCGAAAGCGUGGGGAGCGAACAGG
Molecule: ribosomal RNA, 252 nt
Filed under: uncultured bacterium
Lineage: Bacteria
Description: partial 16S ribosomal RNA
Rfam family: Bacterial small subunit ribosomal RNA
Source: RNAcentral